UACGAAGGGGGCUAGCGUUGUUCGGAAUUACUGGGCGUAAAGGGCUCGUAGGCGGCCAACUCAGUCGGACGUGAAAUCCCUCGGCUUAACCGGGGAAUGGCGUCCGAUACUGGAUGGCUUGAGUGUGGGAGAGGGAUGCGGAAUUCCAGGUGUAGCGGUGAAAUGCGUAGAUAUCUGGAGGAACACCGGUGGCGAAGGCGGCAUCCUGGACUACUACUGACGCUGAGGAGCGAAAGCCAGGGGAGCAAACGGG
RNAcentral lists this ribosomal RNA (253 nucleotides) under uncultured bacterium. RNAcentral describes it as "partial 16S ribosomal RNA". It matches the Rfam family "Bacterial small subunit ribosomal RNA", at positions 524 to 776 of the family's 1533-position model. The record is from RNAcentral.